Molecule: long non-coding RNA, 603 nt
Filed under: Rhinopithecus bieti (black snub-nosed monkey)
Lineage: Eukaryota; Metazoa; Chordata; Mammalia; Primates; Cercopithecidae
Description: lncRNA (ENSRBIG00000045528.1)
Source: RNAcentral
CUUCCGGGAGCGGAGAGGCGGCCGGGGGGAGAGGCUGGAGGGAGGGGGGCUUCACGGAGCUCCAGCCAGGGCCGCGGUGCGCCUGCACGUCACGGCUACUCAAACCCAAGCACGUCCCGAAAGCGGUAUUUUCUGCGUCUGGGAGGUUUUUGCAUCCUCAGUUCCCACCGCUGGGGCUGGCGGCGACCAACUGCUACCGAGCUGGCCUGAUGAUGAUCCUGCUGAGAUAUAUUUAUAGCAGAUGAUUUGUGGAUGAUAACUACGCCAAGCAAGACACGGUCUCCAUAACCCCAGGCUCGUCUGACUUCCUCAGGGGAUUAUAAUCAAGAAUCAGGAAAAGAGCCCUAUAUGGACAGUCUGGUCUCUGGACACUAACAACAGCACAAUCCAAAGGCAAAGCAAGGAGGAACCACUUUGUUUCAUGUCUGCAAGAUGCUCCAUAUAGAAAGCAUUGCUGACAUGUUGACCCAACAGCAAAAGAGAGCAGCAGUUCACACACCCUCAGCUCUCUGUCCUUUCCUUUCUAUUGAUGUUGGUCCACUUUUAUGAUUUAAUACAUAUUAAAUUCAACAUUUCAAAUUAUAAUUAUCUGCUUUCAUUGGU